Long non-coding RNA from Bubalus bubalis (water buffalo), 1362 nucleotides. RefSeq lists it as uncharacterized. The record is from RefSeq and is a predicted model, not a curated record. The transcript is spliced from 3 exons. NCBI's taxonomy places the organism in Eukaryota, Metazoa, Chordata, Mammalia, Artiodactyla, Bovidae.
CCGAGAUAAAUUUGGGUCUAGAAGGGAUGACGUAAUGCUAAAUCCGAGAGGUGGCUGCCGCCUCCCAGGGCUCCAGUCGCCAGGGCUGCCGGCUGACAUCCCAACCACACGGAAAAGCACCACGACCCAGGUCUUAGGAAAAGGAAAAAUCAACUCCUCUGCUGGUGAUGACCACAAGCCAUGGGCCCAGCCACACUACCUCAUUUUAAUUAGAAGACCAGCACAGGUCUGUGAGCUUCAGAAAGCCCAGUGGGAAUCUUCAAGCUGGGCCACGGAUCUGACCAAAGCCAAAAUAAACAAUGGCUUGAAGAAAAUCUACAAAAAAGUGCUGAUUUGCACUAUUCCCACAGUCAGCCACAGCCCCCACCAUCAUUCCCAUGGAAAACGCCACUUCUGGUGCCAAGUCAAGCCUUCCCUCCCAUCACAGGGGCAUUGCUUUUUGUUAUUAUGUGAGUUCUUAGCUUCAGACAAUGGCACCACAAGAGACACAGUGGAGGCAGGAGAAAUGCCUUUUUGUUUCACAGAAUCUAGGCUAUUGUGCCCCAGAGUCUCACAUACAGUAGAGUUGCAUACAUUCAUUUUGGUAACGUGUCUUUGGAACAAUGAAUGUACUAAAGCUCAGAGGCUCUUCCUUAUUUUUUUUUCAGAGCCCAUCAAGUGUUAAAUCAUGUGAGCAUCCCUCCUCCCUAACCAUUCCCCAAUCAAUAGAUUUCUCUAAUAAAGUUGGCUCCAAACGUAAAGAGGGGUGUUUCAGAAGUUAUAUCACAGGGCAGACCGAGCUGGGUCACAAGCUCAGUGCCAUUUCUGAUUACCUUUGCUUCCUAGGAGGAGCUGUUCAUGCCCUUUUUCUUUCUCUUGGGCCUUUUUUUUUUCCGUCUGCACUGAGUCUUCAUUGCAGAGCACUGGCUUCUCUAAUUAUGGUGCACGGGGUCCAGAGCGUGCAGGCUCAGUAGUUGUGGCACGCAGGCUUCUCUCUAGUUGCAGCACAUGGGCUUAGUUGCCCCAUGGCAUGUGGGAUUAGUCCCCCAACCCGGGAUUGAACUCGCAUCCUCUGCAUUGGAAGGCAGAUUCUUAACCACUGGACCACCAGGAAAGUCCCUCUCUGGAGCCGUGAUUCCAUAAAUAAACAGGCCUCUUUGGAAACUUGCUGAGCAUAUCUGCAGAGAACAGGGAGGGAAUGAGAAGGCAAUCAGCCUGUAGGAACAUGUGAACUAUGUUAAAGGAAAGCAGUGAAUUUUUGUGGUGCCCAGUCAGGCCAGCAAUGAUGUUCCCAAGAACCCUAAAUGUCUUGGGUGCCCAUUCAGCCUGGGUCACAUUUUCUCAACCUUCUGUUUCUUUGCUUGGCCUAUUUGGCAAUAUUUU